UACGGAGGGUGCAAGCGUUAUCCGGAAUUACUGGGUUUAAAGGGUGCGUAGGCGGCUAAAUAAGUCAGAGGUGAAAGACUGGAGCUUAACUCCGGAACUGCCUUUGAAACUGUAUAGCUUGAAUUAGGUUGAGGUUAGCGGAAUGUGACAUGUAGCGGUGAAAUGCAUAGAUAUGUCAUAGAACACCAAUUGCGAAGGCAGCUGACUAGGCCUUAAUUGACGCUGAGGCACGAAAGCGUGGGGAGCGAACAGG
Molecule: ribosomal RNA, 253 nt
Filed under: uncultured bacterium
Lineage: Bacteria
Description: partial 16S ribosomal RNA
Rfam family: Bacterial small subunit ribosomal RNA
Source: RNAcentral